AUGGCGCAAUGCGAUGCUCUCCGGCGCUGCGUGGUCCUUUUCCCGCUGCCCUACCUUGGCCACAUGAUCCCCAUGCUCCGGCUUGCCGCGGCGCUGCACGCCAGCGGUCACGCCAUCACCGUGCUCCACACGGAACUCCACGCGCCGGACAAGGCGUGCUACCCUGCGGACUACCACUUCGUGGCCGUGCCCGCCCCCGACCUCCCCGCCGCGUCCGAGGACAUCGCGGCGUUCCUGGUGGCGCUCAACGCGUCCUGCGCGGCCGCCUUCAAGGACCGGCUGGCCGCGCUGCUCGCCGAGGGGAGCGUCCGCUGCGUGGUCACCGACGUGGUGUGGUUCUCGGCGCAGGCGGCAGCGAGGGACCUCGGCGUGCCGGCGCUGGCGCUCAUGACGAGCAGCGCGGCCAGCUUCCGGACCUUCAUGGCCUACCCGGCGCUGCUCGCCAAGGGCCACCUGCCUUACGACGAGUCGCGGGCGGACGCUCCCGUGGAGGAGCUGCCGCCGUUCCGGGUGAGAGACCUGCAGCGGCUCGACGCGAGCAGCCUCGACACCUUCGCCGGCCUGCUCGAGCGGUUCGUCGACGCAGCGAGGCGGUCGUCGGGCCUCAUCGUCAACACCUUCGACGCGAUCGAGGGCCCCGUGGUCGGCGACAUCCGCGACGGCCUUUCCUUGCCGGUGUUCCCCGUCGGCCCCCUCAACAGAUUCUCGCCGCCGCCCCAAGACGGCUCCUCCAGCUGCCUGGACUGGCUGGACAACCAGUCGCCGGGAUCCGUCCUGUUCGUCAGCCUCGGGACCGUCGCCAGCGUCGACGCGCACGAGCUAGCGGAGCUGGCCCGAGCUGCCUGCCGGCCUGGCGGAGCAGAUAGGCGACCGAGGGAUGAUCGUCCCUUGGGGCCCUCAGGAGAAGGUGCUCGGCCACGCCGCCGUGGGCGCCUUCCUGACGCACACCGGGUGGAACUCGACGGUGGAGGCGCUGUCGGAGGGCGUGCCGAUGGCCUGCCUGCCGUGCUUCGGCGACCAGUUCGGGACGGCGAGGUACGCGUGCGACGUGUGGAAGGUGGGGGUGGAGGUGGGGAGGCUCGGCCGGGGGGGGCGUCCGGGCCGCCAUCGACAGGUUGA
This 1119-nucleotide ribosomal RNA is filed under the name Triticum aestivum (bread wheat). Its description in RNAcentral is "partial small subunit ribosomal RNA". The record is from RNAcentral. Lineage: Eukaryota; Viridiplantae; Streptophyta; Magnoliopsida; Poales; Poaceae.